AAACAUAGGUUUCUGCUAAGUCGCAAGACGAUGUAUAGGAGCUGACGCCUGCCCGGUGCUGGAAGGUUAAGGGGAUCUGUUAGAGUAAUCGAAGCAGUGAACUUAAGCCCCAGUAAACGGCGGCCGUAACUAUAACGGUCCUAAGGUAGCGAAAUUCCUUGUCGGGUAAGUUCCGACCCGCACGAAAGGCGUAACGAUUUGGGCACUGUCUCAACAACAGACUCGGUGAAAUUGUAAUUCCGGUGAAGAUGCCGGAUACCUGCGACAGGACGGAAAGACCCCAUGGAGCUUUACUGUAGCUUGACAUUGGGUCUUGGUACUACAUGUACAGGAUAGGUGGGAGGCUUUGAAACCAGGACGCCAGUUUUGGCGGAGCCAUCCUUGGGAUACCACCCUUGUAGUACUGGGACUCUAACCAUAGGCCAUGAAUCUGGUCUUGGGACACUGUCAGGUGGGCAGUUUGACUGGGGCGGUCGCCUCCCAAAAGGUAACGGAGGCGCUCAAAGGUUCUCUCAGUACGGUCGGAAAUCGUACGUAGAGUGUAAAGGCAAAAGAGAGCUUGAUUGCAAGACAUACAGGUCGAGCAAGGAUGAAAAUCGGACUUAGUGAUCCGGUGGUUCUGCGUGGAAGGGCCAUCGCUCAACGGAUAAAAGCUACCCUGGGGAUAACAGGCUUAUCUCCCCCAAGAGUCCACAUCGACGGGGAGGUUUGGCACCUCGAUGUCGGCUCAUCACAUCCUGGGGCUGUAGUAGGUCCCAAGGGUUGGGCUGUUCGCCCAUUAAAGUGGUACGCGAGCUGGGUUCAGAACGUCGUGAGACAGUUCGGUCCCUAUCCGUCGCAGGCGUAGGAAAUUUGAGAAGACCUGUCCUUAGUACGAGAGGACCGGGAUGGACG
Molecule: ribosomal RNA, 894 nt
Filed under: Clostridioides difficile
Lineage: Bacteria; Bacillati; Bacillota; Clostridia; Peptostreptococcales; Peptostreptococcaceae
Description: partial 23S ribosomal RNA
Rfam family: Bacterial large subunit ribosomal RNA
Source: RNAcentral